Molecule: non-coding RNA, 73 nt
Organism: Potamilus streckersoni
Lineage: Eukaryota; Metazoa; Mollusca; Bivalvia; Unionida; Unionidae
Source: the annotation of a GenBank genome assembly
GCUCUGGUGGCUUAGUGGUUAGAGCGACAACCUCGGAUGCGGGAGGUCGUGGGUUCGAUCCCCAGUCGAAUCA